UGGAAGUAAAAGUCGUAACAAGGUCUCCGUUGGUGAACCAGCGGAGGGAUCAUUACCGAGUUUACAACUCCCAAACCCAAUGUGAACGUUACCAAUCUGUUGCCUCGGCGGGAUUCUCUGCCCCGGGCGCGUCGCAGCCCCGGAUCCCAUGGCGCCCGCCGGAGGACCAACUCAAACUCUUUUUUCUCUCCGUCGCGGCCUACGUCGCGGCUCUGUUUUAUUUUUGCUCUGAGCCUUUCUCGGCGACCCUAGCGGGCGUCUCGAAAAUGAAUCAAAACUUUCAACAACGGAUCUCUUGGUUCUGGCAUCGAUGAAGAACGCAGCGAAAUGCGAUAAGUAAUGUGAAUUGCAGAAUUCAGUGAAUCAUCGAAUCUUUGAACGCACAUUGCGCCCGCCAGUAUUCUGGCGGGCAUGCCUGUCCGAGCGUCAUUUCAACCCUCGAACCCCUCCGGGGGGUCGGCGUUGGGGAUCGGCCCCUCACCGGGCCGCCCCCGAAAUACAGUGGCGGUCUCGCCGCAGCCUCUCCUGCGCAGUAGUUUGCACACUCGCACCGGGAGCGCGGCGCGGCCACAGCCGUAAAACACCCCAAACUCUGAAAUGUUGACCUCGGAUCAGGUAGGAAUACCCGCUGAACUUAAGCAUAUCAAUAAGCGGAGGA
RNAcentral lists this ribosomal RNA (658 nucleotides) under Trichoderma citrinoviride. RNAcentral describes it as "eukaryotic LSU rRNA". The stretch from base 276 to 429 matches the Rfam family "5.8S ribosomal RNA". The record is from RNAcentral. Lineage: Eukaryota; Fungi; Ascomycota; Sordariomycetes; Hypocreales; Hypocreaceae.